Molecule: non-coding RNA, 75 nt
Organism: Streptomyces griseofuscus
Lineage: Bacteria; Bacillati; Actinomycetota; Actinomycetes; Kitasatosporales; Streptomycetaceae
Source: Rfam
CUUCAGCGAGCCCAGCCAUAACGGCCGGUCUUCGGGGCGCUCCCGGCCGUAGGUGGCGAGGAGGGCCUGUGCCUC